Lathyrus oleraceus (garden pea) is the source of this 690-nucleotide long non-coding RNA. RefSeq lists it as uncharacterized. The transcript has 2 exons. NCBI's taxonomy places the organism in Eukaryota, Viridiplantae, Streptophyta, Magnoliopsida, Fabales, Fabaceae. The record is from RefSeq and is a predicted model, not a curated record.
GUACUAUUUAAAAGCAUAUACACAAAAGGGGGAAUCGUUGAGCUUCUCUCCCCCUUUUUGAAACCCUAAAAUAUUGUAUCUUCUUUCCUCUCAAAUUGUGUGCGAUUUCAGUCGAUUUGAGCCGAACGGUUUCUAUUCAUCAUAUCCUAAUGCUCUAAAUCGAGUUAUUAGAAGCCUUUGCGUUCAUAUUCGGACUAGUGCAUAUGUGGUUUAGAAUCUCCAUUGAUGACAUCUUUGACAUAUUCAAACCCAUGUCAUUGUUUCUACGGUUGUGCGAUGUUUAAGUUGCAGGAUUAUAAAAGGUGUAACCAUUUUUUCUGGUAUGAUGAAGAAAUGUCUCAAAUAGUCAAGAAUGUAAUCUCUUCUCUACAGCAGAAUUUAAUUGAAGAAAAAAUGAAUUGCAAUGAAGUCAAGAAAAAAGAGAAGGAAAUGAAUAUUAAAAUAAAGUUCACGAAGAAGAUGUUGAAAUUUUGUGUCAAUCACUUUUGUAUUACUAAUAUGAUUAGACAUGUGUAAUAUAAUGGAGUAGGUCAUAGUCCUAUGAAAUGCAGUUUGUGCAAUGCAGUUUGUAAAAUUUAUGACAUAUGAGUGAAAUAAUGUAUUAGUAUAUACUCUAAAAUUGUAAAUGCACUUUUGUAUUGCUAUAAAAUUGUAAUAACAUUCUGGAUUUUAAUGGCAUUUCAGUUUUUU